This 292-nucleotide ribosomal RNA is filed under the name uncultured bacterium. RNAcentral describes it as "partial 16S ribosomal RNA". It matches the Rfam family "Bacterial small subunit ribosomal RNA", at positions 505 to 796 of the family's 1533-position model. The record is from RNAcentral.
GUGUCAGCAGCCGCGGUAAGACGAACCGUGCGAACGUUGUUCGGAAUCACUGGGCUUAAAGGGCGCGUAGGCGGACCGCCAAGUCCGAGGUGAAAUCCUCCAGCUUAACUGGAGAACUGCCUCGGAUACUGGAGGUCUCGAGGGAGGUAGGGGCAAGCGGAACUGUGGGUGGAGCGGUGAAAUGCGUUGAUAUCCACAGGAACUCCGGUGGCGAAGGCGGCUUGCUGGACCUUUUCUGACGCUGAGGCGCGAAAGCCAGGGGAGCAAACGGGAUUAGAUACCCCCGUAGUCC